RNAcentral lists this ribosomal RNA (253 nucleotides) under uncultured bacterium. RNAcentral describes it as "partial 16S ribosomal RNA". It matches the Rfam family "Bacterial small subunit ribosomal RNA", at positions 524 to 776 of the family's 1533-position model. The record is from RNAcentral.
UACGGAGGGUGCAAGCGUUAUCCGGAUUUACUGGGUUUAAAGGGUGUGUAGGCGGGCUGUUAAGUCAGUGGUGAAAUCUCCGGGCUCAACCCGGAAACUGCCAUUGAUACUAAUGGUCUUGAAUUUUGUUGAGGUAGGCGGAAUAAGUCAUGUAGCGGUGAAAUGCAUAGAUAUGACUUAGAACACCAAUCGCGAAGGCAGCUUGCUAAACAAAUAUUGACGCUGAGGCACGAAAGCGUGGGGAUCAAACAGG